RNAcentral lists this ribosomal RNA (429 nucleotides) under uncultured bacterium. RNAcentral's name for it is "bacterial SSU rRNA". It matches the Rfam family "Bacterial small subunit ribosomal RNA", at positions 335 to 755 of the family's 1533-position model. The record is from RNAcentral.
ACUCCUACGGGAGGCAGCAGUGGGGAAUAUUGCACAAUGGGCGCAAGCCUGAUGCAGCCAUGCCGCGUGUGUGAAGAAGGCCUUCGGGUUGUAAAGCACUUUCAGUUGUGAGGAAGGUGGUGUCGUUAAUAGCGGCAUCAUUUGACGUUAGCAACAGAAGAAGCACCGGCUAACUCCGUGCCAGCAGCCGCGGUAAUACGGAGGGUGCGAGCGUUAAUCGGAAUUACUGGGCGUAAAGCGCAUGCAGGUGGUUUGUUAAGUCAGAUGUGAAAGCCCGGGGCUCAACCUCGGAACUGCAUUUGAAACUGGCAGACUAGAGUACUGUAGAGGGGGGUAGAAUUUCAGGUGUAGCGGUGAAAUGCGUAGAGAUCUGAAGGAAUACCGGUGGCGAAGGCGGCCCCCUGGACAGGAUACUGACACUCAGAUGCG